This 253-nucleotide ribosomal RNA is filed under the name uncultured bacterium. RNAcentral's name for it is "partial 16S ribosomal RNA". It matches the Rfam family "Bacterial small subunit ribosomal RNA", at positions 524 to 776 of the family's 1533-position model. The record is from RNAcentral.
UACGUAGGUGGCGAGCGUUAUCCGGAAUGAUUGGGCGUAAAGGGAGCGUAGGCGGACUUUUAAGUGAGAUGUGAAAUACUCGGGCUCAACUUGAGUGCUGCAUUUCAAACUGGAAGUCUAGAGUGCAGGAGAGGAGAAUGGAAUUCCUAGUGUAGCGGUGAAAUGCGUAGAGAUUAGGAAGAACACCAGUGGCGAAGGCGAUUCUCUGGACUGUAACUGACACUGAGGCUCGAAAGCGUGGGGAGCAAACAGG